AGAGUUUGAUCCUGGCUCAGGACGAACGCUGGCGGCGUGCUUAAUACAUGCAAGUCGAACGAGGUCCAUCCAGCAGCUUGCUGGGGGAAGACCUAGUGGCGAACGGGUGAGUAACACAUGAGGAACCUGCCCCGAAGUCUGGGAUAACACCGGGAAACCGGUGCUAAUACCGGAUACCCCCUACGAAUCGCCUGGUUUGUAGAGGAAAGAUUUAUCGCUUUGGGAGGGCCUCGUGGCCUAUCAGCUUGUUUGGUGGGGUAACGGCCCACCAAGGCUCCGACGGGUAGCUGGUCUGAGAGGACGACCAGCCACACUGGGACUGAGACACGGCCCAGACUCCUACGGGAGGCAGCAGUAGGGAAUCUUGCGCAAUGGGCGAAAGCCUGACGCAGCAACGCCGCGUGGGGGAUGAAGGCUCUCGGGUUGUAAACCCCUUUCAGUAGGGACGAAAUUGACGGUACCUACAGAAGAAGCCCCGGCCAACUACGUGCCAGCAGCCGCGGUAAUACGUAGGGGGCAAGCGUUGUCCGGAUUUAUUGGGCGUAAAGAGCUCGUAGGCGGCUUGGCAAGUCGGAAGUCAAAACAGCAGGCUCAACCUGCUGCCGCUUCCGAUACUGCUAUGGCUUGAGUCUGGUAGGGGAUGACGGAAUUCCUGGUGUACGGUGAAAUGCGCAGAUAUCAGGAGGAACACCAGUGGCGAAGGCGGUCAUCUUGGGGCCAUACUGACGCUGAGGAGCGAAAGCGUGGGUAGCGAACAGGAUUAAAUACCCUGGUAGUCCACGCCGUAAACUUUGGGCACUAGGUUUGGGGGGUUAUCAACGCCCUCCGUGCCGUAGCCUACGCAUUAAUUGCCCCGCCUGGGGAGUACGGCCGCAAAGCUAAAACUCAAAGGAAUUAACGGGGCCCGCACAAGCGGCGGAGCAUGUUGCUUAAUUCGAUGCAACGCGAAGAACCUUACCUAGGUUGAACUACGCAGGAAAAGCCACAGAGAUGUGGUGUCCUUCGGGGCCUGCGAUAGGUGGUGCAUGGCUGUCGUCAGCUCGUGUCGUGAGAUGUUGGGUUAAGUCCCGCAACGAGCGCAACCCUUUUCCUAUGUUGCCAGCGGAUAAUGCCGGGGACUCGUGGGAAACUGCCGUGGUCAACACGGAGGAAGGUGGGGAUGAGGUCAAGUCAUCAUGCCCCUUACGCCUAGGGCUGCAAACAUGCUACAAUGGCCGGUACAAAGGGCUGCUAUCCCGCGAGGGUGAGCGAAUCCCAAAAAAGCCGGUCUCAGUUCGGAUCGGAGUCUGCAACUCGACUCCGUGAAGCUGGAGUCGCUAGUAAUCCCGGAUCAGCCACGCCGGGGUGAAUACGUUCCCGGGCCUUGUACACACCGCCCGUCACACCACGAAAGUCGGUAACACCCGAAGCCAGUGGCCCAACCCUUCGGGGGGGGAGCUGUCGAAGGUGGGAUCGGUGAUUGGGGUGAAGUCGUACAAGGUAGCCGUACCGGAGGGUGCGGCUGGAUCACCUCCU
Molecule: ribosomal RNA, 1515 nt
Filed under: uncultured bacterium
Lineage: Bacteria
Description: bacterial SSU rRNA
Rfam family: Bacterial small subunit ribosomal RNA
Source: RNAcentral